Molecule: ribosomal RNA, 468 nt
Filed under: uncultured bacterium
Lineage: Bacteria
Description: partial 16S ribosomal RNA
Rfam family: Bacterial small subunit ribosomal RNA
Source: RNAcentral
GACGAACGCUGGCGGCGUGCUUAACACAUGCAAGUCGAACGGAAAGGCCCUGCUCUUGUGGGGUGCUCGAGUGGCGAACGGGUGAGUAACACGUGAGUAAACUGCCCUUGACUUUGGGAUAACUUCAGGAAACUGGGGCUAAUAUCGGAUAGGAGCUCCUGCUGCAUGGUGGGGGUUGGAAAGUUUCGGCGGUUGGGGAUGGACUCGCGGCUUAUCAGCUUGUUGGGGGGGUAGUGGGUUACCAAGGCUUUGACGGGUAGCCGGCCUGAGAGGGUGACCGGCCACAUUGGGACUGCGAUACGGCGCAGACGCCGACGGUAGGCAGCAGUGGGGAAUAUUGCGGAAUGGGCGGACGCCUGAUGCGGCAGCGCCGCGUGCGGGAUGACGGCCUUCGGGUUGUAAACCGCUUUCGCCUGUGACGAGGCGUGAUUGACGGUAAUGGGUAAAGAAGCACCGGCUAACUACGUG